Molecule: ribosomal RNA, 497 nt
Filed under: uncultured bacterium
Lineage: Bacteria
Description: partial 16S ribosomal RNA
Rfam family: Bacterial small subunit ribosomal RNA
Source: RNAcentral
GAUGAACGCUGGCGGCGUGCCUAAUACAUGCAAGUCGAGCGAACAGACGAGGAGCUUGCUCCUCUGACGUUAGCGGCGGACGGGUGAGUAACACGUGGAUAACCUACCUAUAAGACUGGGAUAACUUCGGGAAACCGGAGCUAAUACCGGAUAAUAUAUUGAACCGCAUGGUUCAAUAGUGAAAGACGGUUUUGCUGUCACUUAUAGAUGGAUCCGCGCCGCAUUAGCUAGUUGGUAAGGUAACGGCUUACCAAGGCAACGAUGCGUAGCCGACCUGAGAGGGUGAUCGGCCACAGUGGAACUGAGACCCGGUCAAGACUCCUACGGGAGGCAGCAGUAGGGAAUCUUCCGCAAUGGGCGAAAGCCUGAAGGAGCAACGUCGCGUGAGUGAUGAAGGUCUUCGGAUCGUAAAACUCUGUUAUGAGGGAAGAACAAAUGUGUAAGUAACUGUGCACAGCGUGACGGUACCUAAUCAGAAAGCCACGGCUAACUACGUG